GGAGUAUGGACCGUGUCUCAGUUCCAUUGUGGGGGACCUUCCUCUCAGAACCCCUACCCAUCGUCGGUUUGGUGGGCCGUUACCCCGCCAACUGCCUAAUGGGACGCGAGCCAAUCCGUGGCCGCCGAAGCUUUCAAACAAAGUCCAUGCGAACUCUGUUGUUACGGGGUCUUAGACGACGUUUCCAUCGCUUAUCCCCCUGCCACGGGCAUGUUGCUCACGCGUUACGCACCCUUCCGCCGGUCGCCGCCAGAGUAUUGCUACCCCGCGCUGCCCCUCGACUUGCAUGUGUUAAGCCUGCCGCUAGCGUUCAUC
Molecule: ribosomal RNA, 315 nt
Filed under: uncultured Bacteroidales bacterium
Lineage: Bacteria; Pseudomonadati; Bacteroidota; Bacteroidia; Bacteroidales
Description: partial 16S ribosomal RNA
Source: RNAcentral